CACAGAGUGCCUGGGCUCGGAGCCCGGAACCGCAAGGCCGCAGUCACGCUGUGGGCCAGACCGAGUUCACAGCCGCGGACCCACUUCCACGCGUUCGGGCUGCUGGCUGUGCCGUGAUUCACACUAACCUCGAUCCGGUCUUCAUCCCUCUCCCUGCACCGAGCUCCCACGGGCCCCUAAUGCCUUCAGGCCCGCCAUCAUGUCUUUUGUCACGCUGAUGAGUUUUAAAAUGAAGCUACGGCGCUGGAAUCUGUGAAUCACGUGUGUGAUCUGACGCAGUGCUGUUUGCAGAGGUCAUUUCAGUCAGUCCCCAGGAGGCAGGACAACGACUGCUAAGCGUACGACUGCCGUAACCAAGAAGAGACGAGUGUGUUAUACAAGACAGAAAACGAAAAGAAAGUGAUUCUCCAAUAAACCAGCAAGGUCAAGUGUGUUCCACAGACCAUCAGUGCGAAGAUGUUCCUUGGGAGAAAAAAGUCUUUCUUAGUGGAAUAAGUUUGGGAAAUAUUAACAGUGAACAUUAGCUUAGUAAAGGCUCUGAAAAGU
This is a non-coding RNA of Manis javanica (Malayan pangolin), 546 nucleotides long. The record is from RefSeq and is a predicted model, not a curated record. Lineage: Eukaryota; Metazoa; Chordata; Mammalia; Pholidota; Manidae.